Gasterosteus aculeatus aculeatus (three-spined stickleback) is the source of this 1997-nucleotide long non-coding RNA. NCBI's taxonomy places the organism in Eukaryota, Metazoa, Chordata, Actinopteri, Perciformes, Gasterosteidae. The record is from Ensembl.
CCCGACAGCACUAUCUCGAUCACUCCAGCCGGGCCAGCAGGUGGGACUUCAUGCCCGGACACGGGGGGGCAGUGGACACCGGGGGUCUAGGAUGAAGGGCUGUUCUCCGGCACCACGCGGCGGCACAGCGGCUCGGUGUGACUCCCCAUCCGGGCGGGCGCGCUCUCCUCCGGCACGGACUGUUACCAAGUCAUUUACCGGCCGACGGUCCGCUUUGCCUCCGGAAGAACGGCUGUUUUUGGGGGUCGAGGCCCUAAACACGACACGAAUAAGCCCGACGGAACUUGUGUUCGCGGGGGUCUCGGCAGAUUAGCGAGCCGGGAAGCGUCACCUGUGCUGAGCGGCGGUCGCAGCUUCUCAGUUCUUGAGCUAUUUUCUGGGACGUCGUCGAUAAAUCCUCAGUAAAUCCCCUCAACGAGACCUCCGGACACCGCAGGGCGCCGGUCCGAGCCGCGGCUUGCUCCAACUUGUCCCCCGUAACGGCGCGGGCACAGACUGCUCGGUCUUCUGGUAGUCUCGUGCGAAAAGCUGCCGCUGCUGCUGCUGCUGCCGUGUGGCUGCCCGUGACCGCCUCGGCUGGCUCCGGCGCGCACACGUACGUGCGCGAGCUCGUUUCCCCGGCGUGUGACGCGCGCCGCAGUGUCCUCCCCAGCAAGCCGGUCGCCCCGGCAACGCUUUCCUCUGACCUCAAUAUGGUCGCUUUUGUGCUGUUGAAGAAAAAAAGAACAGAAAAAAGGAUGCGUCGCGUUCGCGUCAGUUUUAUCGCGAUGACAGAAAGCGCUCAAGUCCAGCGGCGGUGGAAACAGGCAUGCAUCCAGAUCUCAUUGUGGAGAAGAUUUACUGCCGUUGUGUUUAUUCACUUCCUCGGAUAAACCCCACAGGCAGGGAAAGUGCUGUUUCUCCGCUCAUGUGGGGAGCCAGCCUGUCGUCCAUCAGCCAGAACAUGGCGUCGGCUCGUUGAGCUCUUUACCUCCGGACACAUCCAGCUACCUGAGGGAGGAGAGCGAGGGGAGAGAAAGACCGCUUUGGGGCCGUGAUCUCGGAAAAUUGUCUCUCCCCUCUGUGAUAACAUCGGGACAAAGUGAGCGCGUGUGGGGGAUCUGCGUGUGUCUUCAUGUACAGGGGGGGUGUUGAUGUCCUACACUUGAUAGACCCUUGACAAGUGUCAGAGGUAAUGGCCCACCAGGGAGACCUCACAACCGAGCCUAGAACCAAGACGUACACACACACACACACACACACACACACACACACACACACACACACACACACACACACACACCCUGUGGGUUUUUACUGACUGCAAUGAUAGUCGGCGGCAAACACAUGUGAGACGACGCUCGCAGUCCCUUUUGCACUCCCUUGGCAACGAGGAAACACUCAUCCACUCCCUGUCGUGAGGUGUGUUGUGUUUGAGGUUGGUUUGCCACUGGGGAGCCCCGGGGGGAGCUGCAGGUCUGUAGCGAAAUCCUCUGCAGCGUUUAUGUAUGUUUUCGGGCCUCGAGAAGCACAUUCUGGUGGGCCGUACUUGAUUGGUGCAGCUUUACGCAUAAGCGACCAAAGGCCCUUUAAUGUGGCCCCAGGGUGCUGGGCCCCUGCAGGCUCAGCCGCUUACGGCUAUGGCAUUUCUCCAUUGGAAGAGAACGAGGGAAAGUGGGAAAUGUGUUAACACUCACACAUGCAUACUCGUAUAUGCGAGUACAAACGAAAACACGCAUGUACUUACACAUGUCCAUGCAGCUGUACGCAAUUACCACACAUAUGCAUAUGGCUUUAAUUUUUCCAUUAACAACAGGCCGCCACAACCGCUGCAACCUGCGAUACGGCAAUCAAAUCAUUUGUUUGCUUGGGGGUGUUUGCAAUAAUAUGUCAUUGCAAUCUCAUAAAGCCAUUAACCUUUCUCUCUAAAGCACCUGCAGUGUUCAGAAAGACCAUUUUCUCUCCGCCUAAUUUACUUUCCCUGCAACCUGACCUAUUGAGCGUGCCACCGCCAAUCC